UCUUGUGGGUGUCUUUAAAUAUA
RNAcentral lists this non-coding RNA (23 nucleotides) under Arabidopsis thaliana (thale cress). The record is from RNAcentral. Lineage: Eukaryota; Viridiplantae; Streptophyta; Magnoliopsida; Brassicales; Brassicaceae.